GUAGAAUGAACCGGCGAGUUACGAUUUGUUGCAAGGUUAAGCGGAAAAAGCGGAGCCGUAGCGAAAGCGAGUCUGAAUAGGGCGCAUAAGUAACAGGUCGUAGACCCGAAACCAGGUGAUCUACCCAUGUCCAGGAUGAAGGUAAGGUAAUACUUACUGGAGGUCCGAACCCACGCACGUUGAAAAGUGCGGGGAUGAGGUGUGGGUAGCGGAGAAAUUCCAAUCGAACUUGGAGAUAGCUGGUUCUCUCCGAAAUAGCUUUAGGGCUAGCCUCGAGGUAAAGAGUCAUGGAGGUAGAGCACUGUUUGGACUAGGGGCCCUUCUCGGGUUACCGAAUUCAGAUAAACUCCGAAUGCCAUGUACUUAUACUCGGGAGUCAGACUGCGAGUGAUAAGAUCCGUAGUCGAAAGGGAAACAGCCCAGACCACCAGUUAAGGUCCCCAAAUAUAUGUUAAGUGGAAAAGGAUGUGGGGUUGCUUAGACAACCAGGAUGUUGGCUUAGAAGCAGCCACCAUUGAAAGAGUGCGUAAUAGCUCACUGGUCGAGUGACCCCGCGCCGAAAAUGUACCGGGGCUAAACAUAUUACCGAAACUGUGGAUGAACCUCUUUAGAGGUUCGUGGUAGGAGAGCGUUCUAAGGGCGGUGAAGUCAGACCGGAAGGACUGGUGGAGCGCUUAGAAGUGAGAAUGCCGGUAUGAGUAGCGAAAGAAGGGUGAGAAUCCCUUCCACCGAAUAUCUAAGGUUUCCUGAGGAAGGCUCGUCCGCUCAGGGUUAGUCGGGACCUAAGCCGAGGCCGAUAGGCGUAGGCGAUGGACAACAGGUAGAGAUUCCUGUACCAGUGCUAAUUGUUUAACCGAUGGGGUGACACAGAAGGAUAGGGAAUCGCACGAAUGGAAAUGUGCGUCCAAGCAGUGAGUGUGAGAA
RNAcentral lists this ribosomal RNA (924 nucleotides) under Listeria monocytogenes. RNAcentral describes it as "partial 23S ribosomal RNA". It matches the Rfam family "Bacterial large subunit ribosomal RNA", at positions 610 to 1531 of the family's 2925-position model. Lineage: Bacteria; Bacillati; Bacillota; Bacilli; Caryophanales; Listeriaceae. The record is from RNAcentral.